CCCCGUAGCUCAGUUGGUAGAGCAUGGUGUUUGCAACGCCAGGGUUGUGGGUUCGAUUCCCACGGGGG
Non-coding RNA from Salmo salar (Atlantic salmon), 68 nucleotides. The record is from Rfam. NCBI's taxonomy places the organism in Eukaryota, Metazoa, Chordata, Actinopteri, Salmoniformes, Salmonidae.